This is a long non-coding RNA of Arabidopsis lyrata subsp. lyrata, 2491 nucleotides long. RefSeq lists it as uncharacterized. The record is from RefSeq and is a predicted model, not a curated record. NCBI's taxonomy places the organism in Eukaryota, Viridiplantae, Streptophyta, Magnoliopsida, Brassicales, Brassicaceae. The transcript is spliced from 12 exons.
GGGCCCAAGUAAUGAGUGACUAUUGGGCUCAAUAAAGAUUUCAAAAGCCCGUUAUUAUCUAAUGAACUGAAUAGCGACUAUUCCGGUAACACAAAACACAAUUUAUCUCUCUCUACGCAUCAAUCAUCUCUUUUCGUUUGAAACUUCUUCUUAUAGAUCUGUGCGUUUUCGAAUGUUUAUGUUUUGCGAGAAAGGCUCCAUUUUUAACGAGUCAACAGCAGGCGCCACUUUUAAUGGUGACCUGACUGCUGCUUGGAGCCCAGAUCAAAUGCCAGAGGAAGACCCAUGAAACUUAUUUCUCAAUAGUUUCAUGAUUCAAUACUCUUGGCUACAUAUUAUUUAGAUUCUUUGGUUUUGUUUAUUUAGAAUAUGGAACUAAUCAUAACCUUGGGAAUUCGUAUAUGUAAGCUACUGUUUGAUUUCGAGCUUAGAAAUAUAGCAAAUUCAGAAUAUUGCUGCAAUGGAAUUUUACAGGGAAUGAUAUAAACCCUGACCUACUAUUUAUUGGCUGUAUUUCUCCCUGCGAGAGCUCAUUUUCCAUGUUUUUACUUUCAUCAAGUUCUUUUUCUGUUUUGGUUCCUGCUAUUGAUCAUUUGUAGAGGUGUAUGGUCCAAAUGGUUCUGCUUGCUGGUCCUGGAGUUCUGAUUUCUACCUUUUGUCUCGGAGCUCUUAUAACUAGCUUCAACAUUUUGGACUGUGAAUCAGUGACCUUUCUUUAAGUUACAAUUUUUCGAGUUAUGCUCUUGUAGCUCACUUUUCCAUAUAACUGGGACUGGAAAACAUCAUUGUUGCUUGGUGGCUGUUGUUGCUCUGCUAAAGGAGCUUGGUGCUAGUAAGAAAAUGACCACUUUAAUUGACGGGGAAUCUCUCAUGAACGAUGGAUGGGGUAUCGGUUGUGGUUUUCCAGUUAUUUUUCAAGAUGGUGAUGGGACAUAACUCUGAUUGGGGUUCUAUCAUCAGAUUUCUUGUUCAAAAUUCAUUCGGACCGUAUGGAUUAUUUUCCUUUGUUAGUUGUAUAGCUCAAGAGUGCGCUGGGGUUUCUGGAAUUUUGACUGGCAUGAUUUUGGGGAUGUGAGUCGUGCAUUUAAGGGUGACAGUCACCAGAGUCUGCAUCACUUCUGGGAAAUGGCCGCUUAUAUUGCAAAUACAUUAGCUUUUAUACUCAGGAAUCCAUCAUACUCACGUGGUCUGGAUUAAGGGGUGCUGUUUCGCUGUCGCUCGCUCUAUCUGUAAAAGUGAGUUCUGAAGAAAUGACAUUUCAUUCAUGCAAGAGCAAGAUCUACUAUUUCUAUCCAUGUUCCCAUUUCCUUUUCUCUGACAUACUUUUCAGCAAUCAAGUGGAAACCCAUAUCUCAGUUCGGAUACGGGAACAAGGUUUCUAUUCCUCACAGGUGGGAUUGUUUUCCUAACUUUGGUUGUUAAUGGAUCCACUACCCAAUUGCUCUUGCACCUUCUUCGCAUGGACACUUUAACGGCCACUAAGAAACGAAUAUUGGAGUAUACGAAGUUUGAAAUGAUGAAGACUGCUCUAAAAGCUUUUGCAAAUCUAGGAGAUGACGAGGAGCUUGGAUCUGCUGACUGGCCUACAGUUAUAAAACAUAUUUCAAGCUUGGAAUAUUUAGAAGGGAGACAAGUUAAUCCUCAAAAUGGGUACGAAGCUGGAAGUCUUGGCCCUAGGAAUAUAAUGGACAUACGUAUACGCUUCUUAAAUGGUGUCCAGGCAGCUUACUGGGAGAUGCUUGAUGAUGGGAGAAUAACACAAUGUACUGCUAAUGUUUUGAUGCAAUCAGUAGACGAGGCACUUGACCUUGUUUCUACCAGUUCUUUAAGCGACUGGAAUCUGCUUGUUACAUUUCCUCUGCAUUUCUCCGUGCCCAUAGGAUACAAUUGCAUGACUUUUUAGGUAACAGUAACAUUGCUUCUACUGUAAUCAAUGAAAGUGAGGUGGAAGGAGAAGAAGCAAAACAGUUCUUGGAAGAUGUCCGUGAUUCAUUUCCUCAGGUUUUGAGUGUUUUGAAAACAAGACAAGUAACACAUUAUGUGCUGAAUCAUCUAAAACCUUGAGAAGGUUGGACUGUUAGAGGGAAAAUAAGUUUCUCAUCUUCAAGAUGUUGUUCAGUCUGACUUGAAGAAGCUCCUGAGAAAUCCUCCUUUACUAAAACUUCCAAAUAUAGACGAUCUGAUCACCAGCAAUCCUUUAUCGAAAGAUCACUCAAGCUUCAGGAGUUUGGCCAUUGGCGAGACAGAAGCAUGAACUGAGACUUUAGGCAUCCUUGUAAGAAUCAACUAGAGGAGUCAUGAACUCGUUUGUGUGCUUAUACUCUUCUUCUUCUUCUUCUUUUUAUGACCAAAAACAAAAACAGUCCUUUCGUAUAUUUUUUACUUGUUGGUAUAGUUUUACUUGUAGAUUGUGGAUUUGUGAACAAAAAAGUUGGCAUUAUUUUCAUUUUAAACGCAUAUAUCUAAAUAAUUACGCUUAUCAAAGCAAAAA